This 301-nucleotide ribosomal RNA is filed under the name uncultured bacterium. Its description in RNAcentral is "partial 16S ribosomal RNA". It matches the Rfam family "Bacterial small subunit ribosomal RNA", at positions 509 to 807 of the family's 1533-position model. The record is from RNAcentral.
CAGUAGCCGCGGGAAUACAGAGGGUGCAAGCGUUAAUCGGAAUUACUGGGCGUAAAGCGCGCGUAGGUGGUUCGCCAAGUUGGAUGUGAAAUCCCCGGGCUCAACCUGGGAACUGCAUCCAAAACUGGCGAGCUAGAGUAUGGUAGAGGGUGGUGGAAUUUCCUGUGUAGCGGUGAAAUGCGUAGAUAUAGGAAGGAACAUCAGUGGCGAAGGCGACCACCUGGCCUAAUACUGACGCUGAGGUACGAAAGCAUGGGGAGCAAACAGGAUUAGAUACCCCAGUAGUCCCUGUCUCUUAUAC